GGCGCCGUGGCUUAGUUGGUCAAAGCGCCUGUCUAGUAAACAGGACGGGUUCGAAUCCCAGCGGUGCCU
RNAcentral lists this transfer RNA (69 nucleotides) under Takifugu rubripes (torafugu). Its description in RNAcentral is "tRNA-Thr (AGT) (tRNA-Thr-AGT-11-1)". It matches the Rfam family "tRNA". Rfam says of the family: Transfer RNA (tRNA) molecules are approximately 80 nucleotides in length. The record is from RNAcentral. Lineage: Eukaryota; Metazoa; Chordata; Actinopteri; Tetraodontiformes; Tetraodontidae.